CUGCCGCCGGCGACCGGCGCACGGGUGAGUAACACGUAUGCAACCUGGCCGUGACAGAUGGAUAACCGGGAGAAAUCCCGCCUAAUACAACAUAAUACCGGGAGGGGACAUCCCCUGCCGGCCAAAGGGGGCGACCCCGGUCACGGAUGGGCAUGCGGCGCAUUAGGUAGUUGGUGGGGCAACGGCCCACCAAGCCGACGAUGCGUAGGGGUUCUGAGAGGAAGGUCCCCCACAUUGGAACUGAGACACGGUCCAAACUCCUACGGGAGGCAGCAG
This 276-nucleotide ribosomal RNA is filed under the name uncultured bacterium. RNAcentral's name for it is "partial 16S ribosomal RNA". It matches the Rfam family "Bacterial small subunit ribosomal RNA", at positions 82 to 354 of the family's 1533-position model. The record is from RNAcentral.